UUCCUUAUAUCCAACCUGAACCUCCCCUGGUGCAACUUGAGGCCAUUUCCUCGUGUCCUAUCACCUGUGACUUGGGAGAAGAGACCGACCCCCGCCGCCGUACACCCUCCUUUCAGGAACGGAAGGUUGUAACUGGCCUCAGCAUUAUGGCUGGUCACAAACCGGAUCUUCGAGAAAAUCAAAAGAAGCUGAAAACUCCAGUUCCCCGAGCAGUUCUUCUGAGGGAGGAGAAGAAUGAAGCAGAACGGAUACAGGUAAGGUGAGCUGCGCAGAGCAAACAAGCAGAGUUGAAGUAUUAAUCUCUCCUUCCCGUACUGAAAUCCCUGCUUCUACUCCAGCAGGCAA
Molecule: long non-coding RNA, 345 nt
Filed under: Calidris pugnax (ruff)
Lineage: Eukaryota; Metazoa; Chordata; Aves; Charadriiformes; Scolopacidae
Description: lncRNA (ENSCPUG00000011694.1)
Source: RNAcentral